GAUGAACGCUGGCGGCGUGCCUAAUACAUGCAAGUCGAGCGAACGGACGAGAAGCUUGCUUCUCUGAUGUUAGCGGCGGACGGGUGAGUAACACGUGGAUAACCUACCUAUAAGACUGGGAUAACUUCGGGAAACCGGAGCUAAUACCGGAUAAUAUUUUGAACCGCAUGGUUCAAAAGUGAAAGACGGUCUUGCUGUCACUUAUAGAUGGAUCCGCGCUGCAUUAGCUAGUUGGUAAGGUAACGGCUUACCAAGGCAACGAUGCAUAGCCGACCUGAGAGGGUGAUCGGCCACCCGGGAGCUGGGACACGCGCCAGACUCCUACGGGAGGCACCAGUCGGGAACCUUCCGCAGUGGGCGGAAGCCUGACGGAGCAACGCCGCGUGAGUGAUGAAGGUCUUCGGAGCGUAAAACUCUGUUAUUAGGGAAGAACAUAUGUGUAAGGAACCGUGCACAUCUUGACGGUACCUAAUCAAAAAGCCACGGCUAACUACGUG
RNAcentral lists this ribosomal RNA (497 nucleotides) under uncultured bacterium. RNAcentral describes it as "partial 16S ribosomal RNA". It matches the Rfam family "Bacterial small subunit ribosomal RNA", at positions 28 to 507 of the family's 1533-position model. The record is from RNAcentral.